GGUUAACCCAAACAAAAACACACGAGGAGAAAGUUCACUUAAUUGCCCUUCCUUUUCCUGUUCUGAAACAUAGUCGAUAAACAAUUUUUUAAAGCAAAUAUGACAUUACAGAACUGGAAUUGUCAAGCAUUAAAAGGGCAUGUAGGUCAAAGAGGACAAAGGACGAAUAAUCCACAACAAGAGGCCAGUACUACCAUAGAGAAAUACAUGUUCGACAGUCAAUUUUCUAUUCUCAACUGACCAUUGGGUCUGGACUUGCUGCGGGCACAAUAUCCAGCAGUGAGUUCACAGACUCAAUCUCUUCAUGCCAAAGUGGAAGAGUAUCACCCGGAUAGAACUUCCUUUUUACUCCAUCUUUGUUGAUAGUUAUAGUGCGUACUACACCGCCACUCGCACCAUCUCGUGCAAUGGCAAGAGACACCGCAGUCACAACCAGUUUCUCUGCUUCUUCAUGAGACAUUCCUUCCCUCCAUGCCUGAUCAAAGAAACCAUACAAAUAACUAGACCCAGACCCUCCAAUAGCAAAAGGCUGCUCCAAGAGUGUACCCCCAAGAGGAACCCCAUAUAUUUUACCCCCUUCGUAUUUGUCCCAUCCACCAACAAUCAUUCCUGUUUGAAGCAUGGCCUUAUUGUUAUAGGAUAUUUGCCUAAUAAGACUUGCCGCAACCUUGACAGUCGCUGGCUGGCCAAGUUGUAUCGUGUGUUGGUGUAGAAAGUAGCGCACGUAGUCUGAAACAACUUGUGAAUCUGCAGCCGAUCCAGAGCGACAAACAUAUACAUUGUCAGUGAGCUGAGUGAUCUUAUCUGAAGCCCUAUUUGCCACAUACAUUCCAGUGCUGGUACGGGAGUCGGCGCCGAGAACAACGCCACCGUUGUAAGUGACGCCGAUGAUGGUGGUUCCCAUGGAGUGUGGCUGCUCCACAUCGAGCGACGAUUUGUCCAUCUUAGGGUAAAGCUGAGAGAUCGAAGGAGGAGAGAAAUUGAAAAAUGAAAG
This 994-nucleotide unclassified non-coding RNA is filed under the name Hevea brasiliensis (rubber tree). Lineage: Eukaryota; Viridiplantae; Streptophyta; Magnoliopsida; Malpighiales; Euphorbiaceae. The record is from RNAcentral.